RNAcentral lists this ribosomal RNA (253 nucleotides) under uncultured bacterium. Its description in RNAcentral is "partial 16S ribosomal RNA". It matches the Rfam family "Bacterial small subunit ribosomal RNA", at positions 524 to 776 of the family's 1533-position model. The record is from RNAcentral.
UACGUAGGAUGCAAGCGUUGUCAGGAUUUAUUGGGUUUAAAGUGAGCGUAGGCGGCCUAUUAAGUUAGUGGUGAAAACGUUCGGCUUAACCGUAUACCCGCCAUUGAUACUGAUAGACUUGAGUGCGACAGAGGGUGUUGGAAUGUGUGGUGUAGCGGUGAAAUGCUUAGAUAUCACGCAGAACACCAAUUGCGAAGGCAGAUGCCUAUGUCGUAACUGACGCUGUGGCACGAAAGCGUGGGGAGCAAACAGG